UACAGAGGUGGCAAGCGUUGUUCGGAAUUACUGGGCGUAAAGGGCGCGUAGGCGGUUCGUCAAGUCCUGUGUGAAAUCCCCCGGCUCAACUGGGGAACUGCACAGGAAACUAGCGGGCUUGAGUUCGUGAGAGGGAAGCGGAAUUCCGGGUGUAGCGGUGAAAUGCGUAGAUAUCCGGAGGAACACCGGUGGCGAAGGCGGCUUCCUGGACCGACACUGACGCUGAGGCGCGAAAGCUAGGGGAGCAAACGGG
RNAcentral lists this ribosomal RNA (253 nucleotides) under uncultured bacterium. RNAcentral's name for it is "partial 16S ribosomal RNA". It matches the Rfam family "Bacterial small subunit ribosomal RNA", at positions 524 to 776 of the family's 1533-position model. The record is from RNAcentral.